AACGCGAAGAACCUUACCUGGGUCUGACAUGCACAGGACGCCGGUAGAGAUAUCGGUUCCCUUGUGGCCUGUGUGCAGGUGGUGCAUGGCUGUCGUCAGCUCGUGUCGUGAGAUGUUGGGUUAAGUCCCGCAACGAGCGCAACCCUUAUCUUCAGUUGCUACCAUUUAGUUGAGCACUCUGACGAAACCGCCUCGGAUAACGGGGAGGAAGGUGGGGAUGACGUCAAGUCCUCAUGGCCUUUAUGUCCAGGGCUACACACGUGCUACAAUGGCCGGUACAAACCGCUGCAACCCCGCGAGGGUGAGCUAAUCGGAAAAAGCCGGCCUCAGUUCGGAUUGGAGUCUGCAACUCGACUCAAUGAAGCUGGAAUCGCUAGUAAUCGUGGAUCAGCAUGCCACGGUGAAUACGUUCCCGGGCCUUGUACACACCGCUCGCGA
This 438-nucleotide ribosomal RNA is filed under the name uncultured bacterium. Its description in RNAcentral is "bacterial SSU rRNA". It matches the Rfam family "Bacterial small subunit ribosomal RNA", at positions 958 to 1399 of the family's 1533-position model. The record is from RNAcentral.